AAAGAAGCCAAGUCAACUUCCCUUUGACCUACAGCAAAACAACAUCAACAAGAAAAGUCAACAGUGUCACUCUUGGAGAAGAAAAUCUUCCUUGGAAAAAGCUUAAUUCCAACCCCUCCAGUCAGAGCAAAGUGUUGAAUCCAAGUGUAAUUUCCUAAGUGAACAGCUUAACCACAGAGUAUUGUAUAAAAGAAUUAAAGGAAACUGUUAAGAAAAGCAAACAAUAAAUGAAGUUAUGACAAAGAUAAAUAUAUUCCAGAGGGAAUUGCUGGAAGACUUCAUUGUUAGAGACUGCGAACAGUGAAAUGUCUACCACCACUGCAGGUUAUGGAUGGAUUUUUCCAAGUGAGAAAUGCUUGCACCAGAAGAUAUUUAUGCUCUUCUUUACCUGAGAUUUACUACAGUUUAACAAUUGGUAAAAAAUUGGAAUCAGCAUAAUAUGUCUACACAAUCGUAAAUGAAACGCCAGUGAAAUAUGAAGAAUGUCCUUAGAUUCAUCACCAUAAUUAUUUUCUGUAUAUUAAAACCAUUAUGAUAAAAAGGCCAGAGGCAUUUGUAAUCCAAAUGAUUUAAACAGAGGUAACAAAAUAACAGAUCAGUGGGAAGGAACCUACAACAAUAAUCAAGUCCAACUGCCUGACUACUUCAAGGAUAACCAAAAGUUAAAGCAUUAUCCAUAUGCCUCUUGCACUCUGACUGACAUGGGACAUCAACAACCUCCCUAGGAAGCCUGUUCCAGGCUCUUAUGGUAAAUGAUUUUUUCCUAAUGUCCAAUCUGAACUUCUCCUGAUGCAGCUUUGUGCCAUUCCCUCACGUCCUGUCACCAGUUCCCACUGAGAAGAGAUCAGCACCUCCCUCUCCGCUACCUCUCCAGGAAGUUGUGUAGGGUAGAGAAUGAGAAAUGAGGAAAGUAAAGGCAAGCUGUCCAGAGAUCCCCUAAAAUCACCUAUGUUUUCCAAAGCCAAUCAGUAAAUGUUGAAAGAUCACUGUAUGUUAACCAGCA
RNAcentral lists this long non-coding RNA (1003 nucleotides) under Phasianus colchicus (ring-necked pheasant). Its description in RNAcentral is "lncRNA (ENSPCLG00000000150.1)". Lineage: Eukaryota; Metazoa; Chordata; Aves; Galliformes; Phasianidae. The record is from RNAcentral.